AAAGCACCCUGUGAUCCGGGGUGUCGGAAGCGCUCGCGACUGUCCAUGAAAAGGGGAGGGAAAGUAUCAUUCGCACCCCUGGUCGUACCAAUAACCGCAUCAGGUCUCCAAGGUUAGCAGCCUCUGGUCGAUAGAAUAAGGUAGAUAAGGGAAGUCGGCAAGAUAGAUCGGUACCUUCGGUAAAACGAUUGGCUCUGACGGCCGGGUGUAGGGGUCCAUCAUCAGAAGGUGUGUGCU
This 237-nucleotide ribosomal RNA is filed under the name Synchroma pusillum. RNAcentral's name for it is "partial Eukaryotic large subunit ribosomal RNA". It matches the Rfam family "Eukaryotic large subunit ribosomal RNA", at positions 1760 to 1996 of the family's 3401-position model. Lineage: Eukaryota; Synchromophyceae; Synchromales; Synchromaceae. The record is from RNAcentral.